CAGUAGCCGCGGGAAUACGUAGGUGGCAAGCGUUGUCCGGAAUUAUUGGGCGUAAAGGGCUCGCAGGCGGUUUCUUAAGUCUGAUGUGAAAGCCCCCGGCUUAACCGGGGAGGGUCAUUGGAAACUGGGAAACUCGAGUGCAGAAGAGGAGAGUGGAAUUCCACGUGUAGCGGUGAAAUGCGUAGAGAUGUGGAGGAACACCAGUGGCGAAGGCGACUCUCUGGUCUGUAACUGACGCUGAGGAGCGAAAGCGUGGGGAGCGAACAGGAUUAGAUACCCCAGUAGUCCCUGUCUCUUAUAC
This 301-nucleotide ribosomal RNA is filed under the name uncultured bacterium. RNAcentral describes it as "partial 16S ribosomal RNA". It matches the Rfam family "Bacterial small subunit ribosomal RNA", at positions 509 to 807 of the family's 1533-position model. The record is from RNAcentral.